GAUGAACGCUGGCGGCGUGCCUAAUACAUGCAAGUCGAGCGAACAGACGAGGAGCUUGCUCCUCUGACGUUAGCGGCGGACGGGUGAGUAACACGUGGAUAACCUACCUAUAAGACUGGGAUAACUUCGGGAAACCGGAGCUAAUACCGGAUAACAUGUUGAACCGCAUGGUUUAACAGUGAAAGACGGUCUUGCUGUCACUUAUAGAUGGAUCCGCGCCGCAUUAGCUAGUUGGUAAGGUAACGGCUUACCAAGGCAACGAUGCGUAGCCGACCUGAGAGGGUGAUCGGCCACACUGGAACUGAGACACGGUCCAGACUCCUACGGGAGGCAGCAGUAGGGAAUCUUCCGCAAUGGGCGAAAGCCUGACGGAGCAACGCCGCGUGAGUGAAGAAGGUCUUCGGAUCGUAAAACUCCGUUAUUAGGGAAGAACAAAUGUGUAAGUAACUAUGCACGUCUUGACGGUACCUAAUCAGAAAGCCACGGCUAACUACGUG
RNAcentral lists this ribosomal RNA (497 nucleotides) under uncultured bacterium. RNAcentral's name for it is "partial 16S ribosomal RNA". It matches the Rfam family "Bacterial small subunit ribosomal RNA", at positions 28 to 507 of the family's 1533-position model. The record is from RNAcentral.